This 73-nucleotide transfer RNA is filed under the name marine sediment metagenome. It matches the Rfam family "tRNA". From Rfam's summary of the family: Transfer RNA (tRNA) molecules are approximately 80 nucleotides in length. The record is from RNAcentral.
GCCGAGAUAGCUCAGUUGGUAGAGCAUUCCCAUGGUAAGGGAAAGGUCACGAGUUCAAAUCUCGUUCUCGGCU